GGAAGUCGGCAAGCCGGAUCCAUAACUUUGGGAUAAGGAUUGGCUCUAAGGGCUGGGUCGUUCGGGCUGGGGCGCGAAGCGGGGCUGGGCACAAGCCGCGGCUGGACAAGGCGCCUACCCCCCCUCCCGGGGGGGUGGCGGCGACUCUGGAUGCGAGCCGGGCCCUUCCUGUGGAUCGCCCCAGCUGCGGUGGGCGUCGCCCGCCCCUCCUCCUCCGCGGGGACAGGUGGGGCCGGCGUUCUGCCUCAGCCGGCACCUAGCAGCUGACUUAGAACUGGCGCAGACCAGGGGAAUCCAACUAUUUAAUUAAAACAAAGCAUCGCGAAGGCCCGCGGUGGGUGUUGACGCGAUGUGAUUUCUGCCCAGUGCUCUCAAUGUCAAAGUGAAUAAAUUCAAUGAAGUGCAGGCAAACAGCGGGAGUAACUAUGACUCUCUUAAGGAGGCGCCUCCUUUAAGGGCAAUGGUCUGGUUACACAGUC
Molecule: ribosomal RNA, 479 nt
Organism: Alligator mississippiensis (American alligator)
Lineage: Eukaryota; Metazoa; Chordata; Crocodylia; Alligatoridae
Rfam family: Eukaryotic large subunit ribosomal RNA
Source: Rfam